UCUCUAUCACUCAGUGGUAGAGCAUCUGCUUUGUGUGCAGAAAGUCCUAGGUUCAAUCCCAUACGUCUCUAGGUAGGGUUAA
This is a non-coding RNA of Podarcis lilfordi (Lilford's wall lizard), 82 nucleotides long. Lineage: Eukaryota; Metazoa; Chordata; Lepidosauria; Squamata; Lacertidae. The record is from the annotation of a GenBank genome assembly.